AGAGUUUGAUCAUGGCUCAGAGUGAACGCUGGCGGCAGGCCUAAUACAUGCAAGUCGAACGGCAGCACAGCAGAGCUUGCUCUGUGGGUGGCGAGUGGCGGACGGGUGAGGAAUACGUGGGAAUCUGCCCAGUCGUGGGGGAUAACGUAGGGAAACUUACGCUAAUACCGCAUGCGCCCUUCGGGGAAAGCCGGGGACCUUCGGGCCUGGCGCGAUUGGAUGAGCCCACGUCGGAUUAGCUAGUUGGCGGGGUAAAGGCCCACCAAGGCGACGAUCCGUAGCUGGUCUGAGAGGAUGAUCAGCCACACUGGAACUGAGACACGGUCCAGACUCCUACGGGAGGCAGCAGUAGGGAAUAUUGGACAAUGGGCGCAAGCCUGAUCCAGCCAUGCCGCGUGAGUGAAGAAGGCCCUCGGGUUGUAAAGCUCUUUUGUCCGGAAAGAAAAGCGCCGGGUUAAUACCCUGGUGUCCCGACGGUACCGGAAGAAUAAGCACCGGCUAACUUCGUG
Molecule: ribosomal RNA, 509 nt
Filed under: uncultured bacterium
Lineage: Bacteria
Description: bacterial SSU rRNA
Rfam family: Bacterial small subunit ribosomal RNA
Source: RNAcentral